This 54-nucleotide transfer RNA is filed under the name Otobius lagophilus. RNAcentral describes it as "tRNA-Arg". Lineage: Eukaryota; Metazoa; Arthropoda; Arachnida; Ixodida; Argasidae. The record is from RNAcentral.
AAAGAAGCGACAAUCGCAAUCAGUUUCGACCUGAUCCUAGGAAAAAUCCCUUUU